AGGCAGAUGGUUUAGGGGUUCCAGACGGGCAAAAACCGCCCUCCGCCUUCUAAGCGGACGGUCACAGGUUCGAAUCCUGUCGCGG
Molecule: transfer RNA, 85 nt
Filed under: Chloroflexota bacterium
Lineage: Bacteria; Bacillati; Chloroflexota
Description: tRNA-Arg
Source: RNAcentral